Non-coding RNA from Microcebus murinus (gray mouse lemur), 813 nucleotides. Lineage: Eukaryota; Metazoa; Chordata; Mammalia; Primates; Cheirogaleidae. The record is from RefSeq and is a predicted model, not a curated record.
CUGUCGCGUCUUCGUCCUCAGCACUUGCUUUUACCCAAAUGACAGCCGUUCUGGAGGAUGUGGAGCGGGACCUGGCUUGUUUAUUUUAGCCUGGCUGCCGGGAGCCCUGCUUUGGACAAGCCUCAACUUUGGUCUUAUGAAGACUUGAACAAGACACUCCCAUAGUUUCUCACAGCUCGCGGAUCUACCACCUGGGGAUGAACCCAGCACCCAUUCAGGUGCCCACCUGAGCAAAGGGAAGGUCGUCUCCCCUGCAGUUAGGCGGGGUCAGAGGACCAGUCAUGGCCAAAGCAUCACUUCCAAGCAAAGCACAGAGGUGCCAGUGUCCAACCUGGUAUGACCUCCAGAGCAACAGCUGUCAGAGGACAGUGCCACACCAGCCUGGGUCCCCGAGCUACUCUGUGGAGCACCACACACCCCUCGUUGACCUUCAUGGGAAGGUGAGCAAGAAAUAAAUUCUCUUCUCUGAAGCCACUGCGAUAAGGUAAGGUGCCUGUUUUUUGAUGGAGAAUAACGACAUCAAAUCAGGUGGGUCUUGUGAUCACCCCAGCUUCCCAUGCUGCAUGAAAGGGAGCAGCAUGGAGGCACACUAUGUUGAAACAACAGAAGUUGGGGUGCAGAGAGAUGAGGCCACAACAAUUUGCAGGGCAGAGUCCUGGAGAGGAGGGAGGAGUGGAGAGAAAGAGGGAGGAGGUUGGUAUGAUGCGUGCAUACAUCCCAGACUGCAGACAAAUGCAGCCACCACGCACAUUGCAGUGGGAAACCAUGGGUGGGUGCAAAGGAGGAAGAGAGCGGUGAUCUGGACUAUCCAGG